AGGUGAUCCUCAGUGGUCUGGGGUGCAGGCUUCAAACUUGUAGCUGUCUAGCAACAGAGUGGUUCAAUUCCACCUCUUAUCUG
Molecule: transfer RNA, 83 nt
Filed under: Chelydra serpentina (North American snapping turtle)
Lineage: Eukaryota; Metazoa; Chordata; Testudines; Chelydridae
Description: tRNA-Sec
Rfam family: Selenocysteine transfer RNA
Source: RNAcentral